UGAGGAAUAUUGGUCAAUGGGCGCAAGCCUGAACCAGCCAUCCCGCGUGAAGGAUGAAGGCCCUAUGGGUCGUAAACUUCUUUUAUACACCAAGAAAAAGCAGGACGAGUCCUGCCCCGACGGUAGUGUAUGAAUAAGCAUCGGCUAACUCCGUGCCAGCAGCCGCGGUAAUACGGAGGAUGCGAGCGUUAUCCGGAUUCAUUGGGUUUAAAGGGUGCGUAGGCGGCUUUUUAAGUCAGUGGUGAAAUCUUGCAGCUUAACGGUAAAAUUGCCAUUGAUACUGAUGUGCUUGAGUACAAUUGAGGUGAGCGGAAUGUGUAGUGUAGCGGUGGAAUGCUUAGAUAUUACACAGAACACCAAUGGCGAAGGCAGCUUACUAAGCUGUUACUGACGCUGAUGCACGAAAGCGUGGGGAGCGAACA
RNAcentral lists this ribosomal RNA (422 nucleotides) under uncultured bacterium. Its description in RNAcentral is "bacterial SSU rRNA". It matches the Rfam family "Bacterial small subunit ribosomal RNA", at positions 355 to 774 of the family's 1533-position model. The record is from RNAcentral.